GUGAGUUUCCUGAUGAUAAUAUAAUAAUAGCAAUGAUGAUGAUGAUGAUGAUGAUGGCAAUAACAAUGAUGACAGUCAACACUGCCGCGUGCCGGGCUCUGGCCCUUUGCAUGUCUGGGCCGGCUGUACAAGGCACUGCUGGGGCUCCCGGGCUGGGAGCCAGGGACAGGCACCGUCACAGCAGCCAAGGGGCCCCCCUACCACCCCAGCACCUGCUGGCCCUGAACCAGCUGCUCCUUGAGAGCUUUGACAGACUCUUCCGCUUGGCAGCAUUUUAAUCUGCUGGUGCAAGAGCCUUGUCGCUUCCUCAAAGCCUGUGCCCAUGGCCGUGGGCAGCUGCCUGUCCCUGUAUAGGCAGAGCUGCGUCAUGCCCUGUGGCCCCAGGUCUGGCUCUGGGGUUCUGGCUGGGCGGGGCCUGGAACCUUCUGGGAGUCACCAUUGACUGGCUGCAGCCACCGGCUUCCCAGCAAGGAUGUCCUCUUCUGUAGGAAAAUGGGGACGUCGGGAGCAUUCUCUGGACAGCAGGAGAUGCAUGUCGACAGGCUGGCCCUGCCUCUUCCCACCCCAGAGUGAUGCAGCGGUGUCCUGGACCCCUGGGGAGAGGUGACCCCCCCAGCAGGAAGCUGGGCCUGGUUUCUGUCCCUCUGCAGCCACAAGGCCUGGCUAGGAUGCUGGGAGCACCACACCCUGGAGACUCAGCUCACCAAGGACUCAGGGGCGGGGGCUCCCCUGGCACCUGGGAAGCUGGGCCCCCGGCCCCCUGGACUCCCACCCAGACACCAUCUCAACCCAGGCACUUCCCCCGGGCCAGAGGGCAGCCUGGCAGCCCUGGACUCCGGGAGGGCCGAGUCUGGGGAGCUGGACGACGUCACAUUCCACUCUUGAUGAUGCCGCCCCAGUCCUACAAUCUGGACAGCAGGAGAAGCUGCCCAUUUCCUCCAUCUCCGGUAAUGAGAAGCAAAUGCUGAUCCUGGCCGUCUCCUGGCUCUUGGGUCCCUAGGUUCCUGCUGCCCCUGCCAGUUCCUGGAAGAUGCCAGCAGGAGGGAGGGCAGUGGAGCUGGACUUGCG
RNAcentral lists this long non-coding RNA (1068 nucleotides) under Homo sapiens (human). Its description in RNAcentral is "non-protein coding lnc-MUC2-1:2". The record is from RNAcentral. Lineage: Eukaryota; Metazoa; Chordata; Mammalia; Primates; Hominidae.